GCGCAAGUGGUAUAGUGGUAAAAUUCAAUGUUGCCAUAGUUGGCCCCCGGUACGAUUCCGGGCUUGCGCA
This 70-nucleotide transfer RNA is filed under the name Metschnikowia bicuspidata. It matches the Rfam family "tRNA". From Rfam's summary of the family: Transfer RNA (tRNA) molecules are approximately 80 nucleotides in length. Their secondary structure includes four short double-helical elements and three loops (D, anti-codon, and T loops). Lineage: Eukaryota; Fungi; Ascomycota; Pichiomycetes; Serinales; Metschnikowiaceae. The record is from Rfam by way of RNAcentral.